This 253-nucleotide ribosomal RNA is filed under the name uncultured bacterium. RNAcentral's name for it is "partial 16S ribosomal RNA". It matches the Rfam family "Bacterial small subunit ribosomal RNA", at positions 524 to 776 of the family's 1533-position model. The record is from RNAcentral.
UACGGAGGGUGCGAGCGUUAAUCGGAAUAACUGGGCGUAAAGGGCACGCAGGCGGGCUUUUAAGUCAGGUGUGAAAUCCCCGGGCUUAACCUGGGAAUUGCAUCGGAAACUGGUUGGCUAGAGUAUUGUAGAGGGAGGUAGAAUUCCAUGUGUAGCGGUGAAAUGCGUAGAGAUGUGGAGGAACACCGGUGGCGAAGGCGGCCCCCUGGACAGAGACUGACACUCAGGUGCGAAAGCGUGGGGAGCAAACAGG